GUACCCCAAACCGACACAGGUGGUCGGGUAGAGAAUACCAAGGCGCUUGAGAGAACUCGGGUGAAGGAACUAGGCAAAAUGGUACCGUAACUUCGGGAGAAGGUACGCUCUCGACGGUGAAGUCCCUUGCGGAUGGAGCUAUUGAGAGUCGCAGAUACCAGGUGGCUGCAACUGUUUAUUAAAAACACAGCACUGUGCAAAAUCGUAAGAUGACGUAUACGGUGUGACGCCUGCCCGGUGCCGGAAGGUUAAUUG
Molecule: ribosomal RNA, 255 nt
Filed under: Vibrio parahaemolyticus
Lineage: Bacteria; Pseudomonadati; Pseudomonadota; Gammaproteobacteria; Vibrionales; Vibrionaceae
Also listed under: 1 other name
Description: partial 23S ribosomal RNA
Rfam family: Bacterial large subunit ribosomal RNA
Source: RNAcentral